AUUGAACGCUGGCGGCAUGCUUUACACAUGCAAGUCGAACGGUAACAGGCCGCAAGGUGCCGACGAGUGGCGAACGGGUGAGUAAUGCAUCGGAACGUGCCCAGUCGUGGGGGAUAACGCAGCGAAAGCUGCGCUAAUACCGCAUACGAUCUCUGGAUGAAAGCGGGGGACCGAAAGGCCUCGCGCGAUUGGAGCGGCCGAUGUCAGAUUAGGUAGUUGGUGGGGUAAAGGCCCACCAAGCCAACGAUCUGUAGCUGGUCUGAGAGGACGACCAGCCACGCUGGGACUGAGACACGGCCCAGACUCCUACGGGAGGCAGCAGUGGGGAAUUUUGGACAAUGGGCGCAAGCCUGAUCCAGCAAUGCCGCGUGCAGGAAGAAGGCCUUCGGGUUGUAAACUGCUUUUGUACGGAACGAAACGGUCCGGGCUAAUACCCUGGGCUAAUGACGGUACCGUAAGAAUAAGCACCGGCUAACUACGUGCCAGCCGCCGCGGUAA
RNAcentral lists this ribosomal RNA (498 nucleotides) under uncultured bacterium. RNAcentral describes it as "partial 16S ribosomal RNA". It matches the Rfam family "Bacterial small subunit ribosomal RNA", at positions 29 to 523 of the family's 1533-position model. The record is from RNAcentral.